GGAAGGAUCAUUACCAGUGGGGGCUAGCUGGGCGGCGUCGGUCUCCUGGCUGGUCGGCGUCUGUCCGUUCUGUGGUGGGGGAUGUGGGGGAUGUGGUGGGGGAGGGGUGGUGGCGAUGGGUGAUGGUGGUGGUGGGAGCUGGCGGGUCUCGGAUGUGGCAUAUCUCGGAUAUGGCGAGUCCUGGACAUGGCCGGCCUCUGGCACUCACUCAUUCAUUCGCACACUGCCCACACACUCGCACACACACACACACGUCGUCGCCACGGGACGGCAGAGGCACAUUCACGCACCACCGCCGUGCCAUAUGGUGGUGGCUGCUCUGAUGAUGGUGCGCAAGCGUCGUCGUCUGUGUUUGUUUGUUUGUUUGUUUGUUUGUUCUGUGCUGGUCUUGUGGUCAAGCGCCACGGGGGCAGUGCUGCUGCAGCCUGUGGUCAAACACGGGCGCAGCACAAAGCAGCCUGUGGUUAGACAUGGGCGCAGCACAACACAACACGCAGUCAGUUUCUUGUAACAUCAAUCAGCAAAUAUCACAAUACAACGGUUAACAACGGAUCUCUGGGCUCCUGCAGCGAUGAAGAACGCAGUAAAGUGCGAAAAGUAGUGCGACCAGCAAAGGUUGCGAGUCAUCGAGUUUUUGAACGCAAGUUGCGCGCGGUCUUUAGGCCGCGUGUGACCGAUUGAGUGCUGUGCUUUGAGACUAGAUUGUAGUGAUCUGAGGUGCGCUCUGAUCUGGCCUGGUGGUGGUGGUGGUGGUGGGGGAGGAGUAACAGCCAUCCCCUAUAUCAUCCCAUCUAUCGAUGGUCGGAUCUAGUGCGGAAGACAUGCGGUGCAGGAUCAUGGCAUGUGCAUGUGGUAGAGAGGCUUGUACUCGAUAUGAGCAUGCAUGGACAGGAUCACAGGAUGCACCACCUGCGGGGCAGGCAGGCCAGCCGAGUCGAGCGUGCUCAGGCAUGAUCGACAAUGGCAGGCAGGCUAGCCGGCAGUCAAACACACACCUGCGGCCUCAGUCGGUCAAGACCACCCGCUGAACUUAAGCAUAUCAGUAAGCGGAGGAGAAGAAACUAACAAGGAUUCCCGCAGUAACGGCGAGUGAAGUGGGAUCUAGUUCACGGCUGAAAUUGAUGCGAGUCAAUGAUGUGGCCUUGGCAUGUAGACGAUGUGGGAGCUGGGGAUCGGAUGGGUGCAAGUGCUCUGGAAAGGGCCACCAGAGAGGGUGACAGUCCCGUGGUGCCGGCCGAUCCGCAGGGCCCAGUCUAUGGUGCGCAGAGUCGGGUUGCUUGGGAAUGCAGCUCAAAGGGGUGGUAAAUCCCAUCCAAGACUGAAUACGGGCAGGAGACCGAUAGCGAACAAGUACCGUGAGGGAAAGAUGAAAAGCACCCUGAAAAGGGGGUUAAAAGUGCGUGAAAUUGUUAACCUGGAAGCGAGUGGUUGGAUGAAGGUGUGUGGAGUGCAGGGGCGAGGGAGGAGCGUGUGGGCGGAGCGACAAGCCGGCCGUGCGAAUGCUCUCUUCUCCCGGCGCCACGCGAUGGGGGGCCUCGGAGUGGCGGGAUGAAUACCCGGGAAGGUACUCACCAGAUGAGCUUAUAGCCCGGGGACAGGCGGCGACUCGGAGGUGACAGCAGGCGGGGUGCGUGCGGGUCCAUGCGGACGGGCAGACGGAUGGGUGCAGACUGCAUGCAGACUGCGGCCAUGGGUCGGCUGUAGGCGCGGGACACGGCGCAUCCGGCGCCCCCAGUAGACACAACCACCCGACCCGUCUUGAAACACGGACCAAGGAGUCUAACAUGUAUGCGAGUGUUUGGGUGGCAAGCCCGGGCGCGCAGCGAAAGCGUCGAGUACGAGCUGCAGGCCUGGGGGCGUGCUCGUGUCAAAGCGGGCGGGCAGCAGGCGGCAGGGCAGUACGACCGCGGGCCGGCUUUCAGCGGGGCCGUGGCGGAGCACACACGUUGGGACCCGAAAGAUGGUGAACUAUGCCUGGGGAGGAUGAAGCCAGAGGAAACUCUGGUGGAGGUCCGCAGCCGUUCUGACGUGCAAAUCGAUGGUCGGACCUGGGCAUAGGGGCGAAAGACUAAUCGAACCAUCUAGUAGCUGGUUCCCUC
Molecule: unclassified non-coding RNA, 2099 nt
Filed under: uncultured fungus
Lineage: Eukaryota; Fungi
Description: sequence contains 18S rRNA gene, ITS1, 5.8S rRNA gene, ITS2, 28S rRNA gene
Rfam family: Eukaryotic large subunit ribosomal RNA (bases 999-2099)
Source: RNAcentral